GAGUUUGAUCAUGGCUCAGAUUGAACGCUGGCGGCAGGCCUAACACAUGCAAGUCGAGCGAGAAAGCACUUCGGUGUGAGUAGAGCGGCGGACGGGUGAGUAACGCGUAGGAAUUUGCCCAGUAGUGGGGGACAACAUGUGGAAACGCAUGCUAAUACCGCAUACGCCCUAAGGGGGAAAGCAGGGGAUCUUCGGACCUUGCGCUAUUUGGAGAAGCCUGCGCGGAUUAGCUAGUUGGUAGGGCAAAGGCCUACCAAGGCGACGAUCCGUAGCUGGUCUGAGAGGAUGAUCAGCCACACUGGGACUGAGACACGGCCCAGACUCCUACGGGAGGCAGCAGUGGGGAAUAUUGGACAAUGGGCGAAAGCCUGAUCCAGCCAUGCCGCGUGUGUGAAGAAGGCCUUAGGGUUGUAAAGCACUUUCAGUAGGGAGGAAAAGUUAGUCGUUAAUAACGGCUAACCCUGACGUUACCUACAGAAGAAGCACCGGCAAACUCCGUGUCAGCAGCCGCGGUAAUACGGAGGGUGCGAGCGUUAAUCGGAAUUACUGGGCGUAAAGCGCGCGUAGGCGGCCUGAUAAGUUGGAUGUGAAAGCCCUGGGCUCAACCUGGGAAUUGCAUUCGAAACUGCAGAGCUAGAGUACAGUAGAGGGGGGUAGAAUUUCAGGUGUAGCGGUGAAAUGCGUAGAGAUCUGAAGGAAUACCAGUGGCGAAGGCGGCCCCCUGGACUGAUACUGACACUGAGGUGCGAAAGCGUGGGUAGCGAACAGGAUUAGAUACCCUGGUAGUCCACGCCGUAAACGAUGUCUACUAGCCGUUGGGAGGCUUGACCUCUUAGUGGCGCAGCUAACGCGAUAAGUAGACCGCCUGGGGAGUACGGCCGCAAGGUUAAAACUCAAAUGAAUUGACGGGGGCCCGCACAAGCGGUGGAGCAUGUGGUUUAAUUCGACGCAACGCGAAGAACCUUACCAAGUCUUGACAUCCUGCGAACUUUCUAGAGAUAGAUUGGUGCCUUCGGGAACGCAGUGACAGGUGCUGCAUGGCUGUCGUCAGCUCGUGUCGUGAGAUGUUGGGUUAAGUCCCGUAACGAGCGCAACCCUUGUCCUUAUUUGCCAGCACGUAAUGGUGGGAACUUUGAGGAACUGCCGGUGAUAAGCCGGAGGAAGGUGGGGAUGACGUCAAGUCCUCAUGGCCCUUAUGGGCUGGGCUACACACGUGCUACAAUGGUGGUGACAAUGGGCAGCGAAGGGGCGACCUGGAGCUAAUCCCCAAAAGCCAUCUCAGUUCGGAUUGCACUCUGCAACUCGAGUGCAUGAAGUUGGAAUCGCUAGUAAUCGUGGAUCAGCAUGCCACGGUGAAUACGUUCCCGGGCCUUGUACACACCGCCCGUCACACCAUGGGAGUUGGUUUUACCCGAAGCCGGUGCGCUAACCAGUUUACUGGAGGCAGCCGACCACGGUAGGGUCAGCGACUGGGGUGAAGUCGUAACAAGGUAACC
This 1496-nucleotide ribosomal RNA is filed under the name uncultured prokaryote. Its description in RNAcentral is "partial 16S ribosomal RNA". It matches the Rfam family "Bacterial small subunit ribosomal RNA". The record is from RNAcentral.